UAAGCAUGGCUACAUCGACAAGGGUAGGAGAAGCAGGGCCGUGGCCAAAAACAAAAGCAUUGAGAGUGUCUGACCAAAAGUAGGAUGCAGCUAUCAGCAGUGACUCGUUCCUGUGCAUAUCGGCAAUGGAUAGCCUAAUGCAUUGAGCUAGCUUCCUCUCACCCCACUGGACUUCAUAAGAAUUGCUGACCCUCAAGAACCAAUCUUUCCACCCUGCAGUAGGGCUGGGCCAAGAGCGAAAGGUGUCU
This 248-nucleotide long non-coding RNA is filed under the name Sorghum bicolor (sorghum). RNAcentral describes it as "long non-coding RNA (SBIC_LNC002970)". The record is from RNAcentral. Lineage: Eukaryota; Viridiplantae; Streptophyta; Magnoliopsida; Poales; Poaceae.